UCCAGCCCCUCCAGGGCUCUCUGGCUGGGAGGGCCCAGAACUGGACACAGCCCUCGGGGUCCCUCAGCAGGGCCAGCCCAGGGGACGGGCCCUGCCCUGGGCCUGUGGCCACCCCAUGGCUGGCACAGCCCAGGGGCCAUUGGCCUCGUGCCCCCCUGGGCACCCCCGGGCUCCUGUCCAGCCCUGGCACAGCCCUCAGGGCCUUUCCCGACGGGCCCUUUCCAGCCCCUCUGCCCAGCCUGGAGCUGCAGGGCCUGGGGUGACCCCAGGGCAGGACCUGGCACUUGCUGAACCUCAGCCCAUGGAUCCAGCCUGUCCUGAUCCCUCUGCAGAGCUUCCUGCCCUCCAGCCAGCCUGGUGCUGUAUGUGAAGUUACUGAGGGCACCCUUGGUAACUCUCACACUGAAGUCUGUCCCCUGCACUCACUCUGGUUUUGGCUCUUUUAUAUUGCGCAGUUUUUAUGCUGCCCAGGCAGUGUGGCUUGCAAACAAAACAUAUCAUCCAUUUGUACUUUUGGAAAGGUUUUGUCCCACCCAAAGCCAGGCUGAGGCUGGUAGCAAACACAGCUUUGCAGAGGAAAUAUGUUGUUGUGCUUCCAGCUCUGCCAAGGGCUCAGCUGAUCCUGUGUUUCAGAGCACAGAUUCCAGUAAUGGGAAUGAAGCAGCAGUCAGUCAUCGGGCUCUCUCUUUUAGCAGUGUUAGCAAUUACACCACAAAAAGCAGUUGAACAGAAAGAGGCAUUCAGCUGGGGCUAGCUGAGUCUCAAUCUUUUGUCUGGAAAAUCCUUAACAUCCCCAUUGAGGACUGGAGUAACAAAUUAAAAACUUUUGUCUGCUUGCCCCUCCAAAUCAGCGCAUGGUUGGAAUGGGCUGUGCAACAGUGCUUGGGGCAUGGAUCUGGACACAGCAGGGGUGAAGAAAGGGUGCUGCCAUGUCCUGCUUUGGGAAUGACUUUGAGUCCUGUGCUGAAUGCAGAAAGCUAUGAAAAACAUCUUAUUUUCUUUAUGUGUGCAUGGAGAAUCCACUCAAACUCAAAAUUAAACAAUAAAUGGGAUGUUUUACCCCUCUUCAGGA
Molecule: long non-coding RNA, 1072 nt
Organism: Vidua chalybeata
Lineage: Eukaryota; Metazoa; Chordata; Aves; Passeriformes; Viduidae
Exons: 2
Source: RefSeq, a predicted model, not a curated record